GCACCUAAAAAUAGUUUUUAGGUACCCAAACACUUUUGGGUCCUUGGGGGUUAGGCAAAUAAUAAUCAUAGCCAAAAGACAAAUCCCUAUGUUUUGCGAAACAUACGGGUGCUAUGUGUCCUACGCGGUUGCAAUAAUGACAUACUACGUUCGGGUUGUGCAUAUGUCUCGGUUGAGCCAAAAACGGUCUAGGUGAUCUAAAGUCAUUUUUCCUAGAAGUGUUGAAAUUCCUAGAGUCAUUUCUAGGUGGNN
RNAcentral lists this long non-coding RNA (252 nucleotides) under Nicotiana benthamiana. Its description in RNAcentral is "long non-coding RNA (NBEN_LNC030026)". The record is from RNAcentral. Lineage: Eukaryota; Viridiplantae; Streptophyta; Magnoliopsida; Solanales; Solanaceae.